This is a long non-coding RNA of Cryptotermes secundus, 1538 nucleotides long. RefSeq lists it as uncharacterized. The record is from RefSeq and is a predicted model, not a curated record. NCBI's taxonomy places the organism in Eukaryota, Metazoa, Arthropoda, Insecta, Blattodea, Kalotermitidae. The transcript is spliced from 2 exons.
UUACAACAAUCUUAAUACUAAAAAUUAUAUAAGAUAUAUAACAUUUUAUACAUUAUAAACUAUAUACUGCUUACAUCAGCAGCAAAUAUUCGAGAAUACGUGGUUCAAAUAGUCCUCCCUUGCAUAAUAGCACCUCUGAAUAAGUAACUUCUUCAAUUCCCUUGUGAACUGAGUUUGUUUUUUUAUUUCUUUUAUGUUGUUAGGCAAUUUGUUGUGAAAGAUACAGCCAGCUACUGAAGGAUUACUAUUAUAAAGUUCUAAGUUGUGCCCAUAUAUAUGAUAGUCUUUAUUAUUUCUUGUGUUGUAUGUGUGUAUUCGUUCUUUCACUGUGCAGUUACACUUUUUUUUAACACAUAUAGAAUUGUUUCUUGUAUAUAUAGCGAGUAUACUGUUAGUAUCUUUAGAUUUCUAAAGCUAUCCCAGCACAGUUCGAGAUGUUAUUCCAUAUGAUAGAUGAGGAAGGAUCAAACCAUAAUACAACAUUCUUCUUUCAUUUAAACCGAGUAUUUUAGAUAGCCUGUUAAUUAUUGCAGGUUUUUUCAACAUGUAAUUCCCAGCUCAAGUGCGGCAGUUGCCGGAAGUUGCCUGGUCGCAGAGCGUGGUUGCUGGAAGACGUCUGGUCGCGGAGCACAGUCACUGGAGUGGCGGCAGCUGUGCCAGUUGCCCGGUGUGUUGGGCAUGACCACCUCAGAGCCAAGGCAGCAUCCCUGAUGCAGUGAUGAGCCGAUGACUCCGAAGACUGAUCGCUCUGGGCUAGGUGUGAUGGCUGACUGGCUGAUGUGGUCACUAAUGAUUGUGAGCUUUGGGCUCCGCCUUUUAUACCAUGCUUGAUGGAGGAGCGAAACUUGCAGUUGCAAUUGUGAGUGCUGAUUGGCUAGCGCGUGUGAUGGUUACAAGUGAGCUGGAUAGCGAGCGCUGUAUAAAUAUGAGAGCUGAUAGCAAUAUGCGGCAAUGUGCUAUUGACUCAGGAGUGAGUGUUGUCCGUUGAUCGACGAAACAGUGUGAUAGUAUGUUGGAUGUUCCCACACCCCUUUUCCCUUUGUCAGUCAAGGGAAGCAGUUCAGGAGGAGGGAGAGUAUUCUGCAACUGCCAAGUUGGUCAGUCACUAGAGUUGAUCUAGAAGCUUGAUCUCAAAUGGUGUACAAUAGAGAACCAUGACCCAGUAAGAUACAGCUAUCAGAUUAUUAGCAAGUAAAGCACCCAGCACAUACUUUCAGACAUUAUAAAUUUGUAUCUAGAUCUUGAACCAAUGUACUGGGGCCAAUAAAGUUAGUUACCACCGUUUAAGCGUAUCCAAUUAGUUCAUCCAAAUUUGUAGCAGGUGCUCUUGAGGCCUACCUUCAUUUCCGUGUGAUUGAUCAUAGGAUCUAAACAAAUAAUAGGUAGGUUGCUGGAGCCACGGGUCUAUGAGCUAUUUUUAUUUCCACAAAGAACUGACUUUUGCUUUUUGGAACAAUUCUUUGUUUUACAUGUGUCAAUUUAUUUUUCUGCACAUUAUAUUUUGUUGAUGGUUAAUAUAUUAAAGAGGUGUAAAAUGA